Molecule: ribosomal RNA, 1541 nt
Filed under: metagenome
Description: bacterial LSU rRNA
Rfam family: Bacterial large subunit ribosomal RNA
Source: RNAcentral
GGACCUAAGGCAAGGCCGAAAGGCGUAGUCGAUGGGAAACAGGUAGAUAUUCCUGUACCACCGCUAUAUGAUGACGAAGCAGUGACGCAGAAAGGUAGAGCGAGCGGCCAGUUGGUGAGCCGUUCAAGUGAGUAGGGUGUUGCGUAGGCAAAUCCGCGCAACGUGAGCCUGAGACACGAUGACGAGUGAAAAAUAGUAACGAAGUCCUUGAUCCUCCGCUGCCAAGAAAGCUGCUAAGGAAUAUAGAGGUGCCCGUACCGCAAACCGACACAGGUAGACAGGUAGAGAAUACUAAGGCGCGCGAGAUAACUCUUGUUAAGGAACUCUGCAAAAUGAACCCGUAACUUCGGGAGAAGGGUUGCUCUCUAGCGUGAGUAUGAGCAAUACAGAGCGCAGGAGAGUCGCAGUGAAAAGGUCCAGGCGACUGUUUAGCAAAAACACAGGUCAUUGCAAAAUCGCAAGAUGAAGUAUAAUGGCUGACGCCUGCCCGGUGCUGGAAGGUUAAGGGGAAGAGUGCAAGCUUUGAACCGAAGCCCCAGUAAACGGCGGCCGUAACGAUAACGGUCCUAAGGUAGCGAAAUUCCUUGUCGGGUAAGUUCCGACCCGCACGAAAGGCGAAACGAUCUGGACGCUGUCUCAACAAGGGACUCGGUGAAAUUGAAAUUCCGGUAAAGAUGCCGGAUACCUGCGAUAGGACAGAAAGACCCCAUGGAGCUUUACUGUAGCCUGAUAUUGGGUUUCGGAUAUUCAUGUACAGGAUAGGUGGGAGACUAAGAAGCAUGGACGCCAGUUUGUGCGGAGUCACUGGUGGGAUACCACCCUUAAAUGUUUGGAAUUCUAACAAGGAGUCUUGAAGCAGAUUAUUGGACAGUGUCAGGUGGGCAGUUUGACUGGGGCGGUCGCCUCCCAAAAGGUAACGGAGGCGCUCAAAGGUUCCCUCAGAACGGAUGGAAAUCGUUCGCAGAGUGCAAAGGCAGAAGGGAGCUUGACUGCGAGAGCCACAACUCGAGCAGAUAGGAAACUAGGACUUAGUGAUCCGGCGGUCGCGAGUGGAAGUGCCGUCGCUCAACGGAUAAAAGCUACCCUGGGGGUAACAGGCUUAUCUCCCCCAAGAGUUCACAUCGACGGGGAGGUUUGGCACCUCGAUGUCGGCUCAUCGCAUCCUGGGGCUGAAGUAGGUCCCAAGGGUUGGGCUGUUCGCCCAUUAAAGCGGUACGCGAGCUGGGUUCAGAACGUCGUGAGACAGUUCGGUCCCUAUCCAUCGCGGGCGUAGGAAAUUUGAAGGGAGCUGACCCUAAUACGAGAGGACCGGGUUGGACAGACCGCUGGUGAACCAGUUGUUCUGCCAAGAGCAUAGCUGGGUAGCUAAGUCUGGAAAAGAUAAACGCUGAAAGCAUCUGAGCGUGAAGCGAACCUUAAGAUGAGAUUUCCCACAACGAAAGUUGAUAAGACACCAGAGAGAAUAACUGGUAGAUAGGUCAGGAGUGUAAGUGUGGUGACACAUUGAGCGGACUGAUACUAAUAAGUCGAAGACUUAGCCU